GGCCUGUUGAUUAUUAUUUCAGGUCUCGCCUGCCCACUGAGUAGUUAAAGGGCCGCGGUAUCUUGACCGUGCAAAGGUAGCAUAAUAAUUAGUUUCUUAAUUGGAAGCUUGUAUGAACGGUAGGAUGAGAAAAUUACUGUCUCUGAUUAAUUUCUAUUGAAUUUUAUCUUUAAGUAAAAAAGCUUAAAUUUUAUUAAAAGACGAGAAGACCCUGUAGAAUUUUACACUUGAUUUUAUUACCUUUUAUUUAGAAUUUUUAGAAAGGUGAUUGGGUUCCGUGUUUGGUUGGGGUGAUCGAAAAAUUAAAAUAACUUUUUUUUUAUUAUAACAUUGAUUUAUGAAAAAUUGAUCCAUUGUUUGUGAUUAUAAGAUAAAAUUACCUCAGGGAUAACAGCGUAAUCUUCUUAGAGAGUCCUUAUCGAUAAGAAGGUUUGCGACCUCGAUGUUGGAUUAAAAUUAAGUCUUGGUGCAGAAGCUAGGAAUAUUUGGUCUGUUCGACCAUUAAAAUUU
RNAcentral lists this ribosomal RNA (510 nucleotides) under Trachylophus sinensis. RNAcentral's name for it is "partial 16S ribosomal RNA". It matches the Rfam family "Bacterial large subunit ribosomal RNA", at positions 1819 to 2596 of the family's 2925-position model. Lineage: Eukaryota; Metazoa; Arthropoda; Insecta; Coleoptera; Cerambycidae. The record is from RNAcentral.